This is a long non-coding RNA of Dermacentor silvarum, 1180 nucleotides long. RefSeq lists it as uncharacterized. The record is from RefSeq and is a predicted model, not a curated record. Lineage: Eukaryota; Metazoa; Arthropoda; Arachnida; Ixodida; Ixodidae. The transcript has 3 exons.
AGAUGUUCUCCCAGCUGGCCGAACUGCUUGGCCAGAAGUGCAAUCACUGGGAAGGCCUGAACAGCGUCGCCAUUGCUAACCUGCGCGCUCUCUACGUCGUCCUGGAGGAGCGGAAAUGCUGCAGCACGGACCAGCGCGACGCCCACGCAGCUGUUGUCGCACAGGCUAGAGGAUCUGAUGUCAGCAGCAGGAAAGGCAGCAGGUGCAGGUGUGCUGCAGCAACACAGUCGCGCUGGCGGCUUGGAGUGCAUUGAUUUCCGAGGCGGUCUUGGCUCAAACGGAGGUGAGCUGCUCAGCAACGCCACGAAUCGAUGAGCGUUCGCGUUGCAUGAAAGGCAACCGUGCAUCGCAGGCAGCGAACGGCAAAGAGUCACGUCAAUUCGGCAUGUGGACGCGGUGAAGCUUACAUCAAGCUUCGGGUUGGUGUAAGUCGCUGCGAACCAAGCCGAGCGCACCGGCUGUUGUAAGGGUCGCAGCAAUUCGCUGGAUGGUUGGGUGCGUUCCAAAAGCUGCAGUGCGUCCAGGAUGUUUUUCGGUGCUUCAGUUCUUUGGUGAUGCGGUGAGCGUUCAGGUUGUCGAGGAAGCCGCUGCUCAUUUGGCUUGAGAAGCAUGAUCCACAGAUGCAGCAUCUGGCCGCCCUCACGUGAACGAGCCUCGAUGAAUGCGGUGAACCGGAUUCCCGUAGCUAGUUGCGCUGCGUGUACUCGACGUUGAGGCGCCAACGGGGAUGUUUUUCGUUGCCGAGAACGCCGAGGUAGCCUUUGGUGGCUCUGCACAGGUAGAUGCGGGAUAGGACCCAGCGCAGAAGCUCCGGGUUCUCCCAGCUUGACAUGAAGACGCGUCGGACGUCCUCGUUCUUCGUGUAUCUGGACAGAGGCUCCGGUAACGCCGGUACGUCUUGCCAUUGGGCGAUGUUCAGGCGUUGCGGAUCCUCUGGCCAUGGAAGUCUUGAUUUCCUUUUGUAGUGUUGGCGUACAACCCCAGACUAACAGGGACAACUUCUUGUCCGUCUCGAACGAUUGCUGCCACGGGAAAAUGGCGAUUCGUUGAACGAGCAUUAGCUGCGCGAGGACACGCGAGAGCGCUUCUUUCUCAUCGUGCCACGCCGCGUGUUCGGCUGCGAAGACGUAAAGAAGAAGAAGGGGCUUCGCAAACUUAUUACGCUGUGUUUUGUAGGAUU